Molecule: long non-coding RNA, 2517 nt
Organism: Apodemus sylvaticus (European woodmouse)
Lineage: Eukaryota; Metazoa; Chordata; Mammalia; Rodentia; Muridae
Exons: 4
Source: RefSeq, a predicted model, not a curated record
CCCUUCCUCAUGGGAUGUCCUCACCAGUGAGCCACAGUGGCUUCCGCUGACUCUAGUGACAUCUUCUGUGUCAUCGGUGGUCAGAAGAGUUGUCUUUCUGGCACUGUGAACAGCUGAGCUUGGCACUGCUACCCACGGCCUAGAUGGCCGCAGUCCGUGCAGAGUGGUAAAGGAAACCCCAUUCUAGGCGCCUUUGCCUGUUACAAGCUGUCAGAUGUAGCAUAUAGUUCAUGUUGAAGAAAAGAUCCUUGUCUUUAGAAAUACAGAGGCCAUUGCGUAGACAUUGGACACCUUUAGGGGAGGUAGGGCAAAUCUAGACUGAGCUACACCUGUGACGGGAGCAGGCUAAGGGGCUUUUGCUGACCUCUGAAGUGUUGCUGUUCCCCACAUCUGCCACGUUUUGUUUCAUAAUCAAGUCUAGUCUGAGUGACUGCUCCUAAAAUUUCCUUCACCAAGGAUGCAGUGACCCCUCCCAGAUUUCUAUCUUCAGACCAGACUCUUCCUCAAAGCCCCAGACUCAUUUAUACCCACAAGCUCAAGAAAACACAUAUUUUCUUGCCCAGUGUCCAACAUUAAAAAAUAAAAUAAAAUAAAACAUUGAUUUUGUUUCUCCAUUUCACAUUUUUUUAAAGAUUCAUUUUUAUUUUUUAAUGAUGCGUAUGUGUGUAGGGAUGUGAAGGUAUGAAUGUAGGUACCCAUGGAGUCCAGACAAGGACAUAGAUUCUCUGGUAGCUACAGUUGCAGGAGGUUGUGAGCCACUUGAUGUGGGCACUGGGAGCUAAAGCUGGGUCCUCUGACAGAGCAGUAUGUGUCCCUAACCACUGUGCUAUCUAUCCAGCCCCCCAUUUCACAUUCUCAGAAACUAUGUUCAGCUGUAUUCAGGCCAGAAACCCAGAUAUCCUGAAUAAUAAUCUGUUACCAGUUCUUACUACUUUUAUGCCCUGAGACCUUCCAAGCUGUCUGCCUUUCUGCAUCCACACUGCUGCUCCCGAGUAUCUGCACUGCCACACAGGUGUAUGUGGGCCUCCUGCCCUGCCACGCAGGUGUAUGUGAGCCUCCUGCCCUGCCACGCAGGUGUAUGUGAGCCUCCUGCCCUGCCACGCAGGUGUAUGUGGGCCUCCUGCCCUGCCACGCAGGUGUAUGUGAGUCUCCUGCCCUGCCACGCAGGUGUAUGUGAGCCUCCUGCCCUGCCACGCAGGUGUAUGUGAGUCUCCUGCCCUGCCACGCAGGUGUAUGUGAGCCUCCUGCCCUGCCACGCAGGUGUAUGUGGGCCUCCUGUCCUGCCACGCAGGUGUAUGUGGGCCUCCUGCCCUGCCACGCAGGUGUAUGUGGGCCUCCUGCCCUGCCACGCAGGUGUAUGUGAGCCUCCUGCCCUGCCACGCAGGUGUAUGUGAGCCUCCUGCCCUGCCACGCAGGUGUAUGUGGGCCUCCUGCCCUGCCACGCAGGUGUAUGUGGGCCUCCUGCCCUGCCACGCAGGUGUAUGUGGGCCUCCUGCCCUGCCACGCAGGUGUAUGUGGGCCUCCUGCCCUGCCACGCAGGUGUAUGUGGGCCUCCUGCCCUGCCACGCAGGUGUAUGUGGGCCUCCUGCCCUGCCACGCAGGUGUAUGUGGGCCUCCUGCCCUGCCAUGCAGGUGUAUGUGGGCCUCCUGCCCUGCCACGCAGGUGUAUGUGGGCCUCCUGCCCUGCUCAUUCUUGCGUCAAUUGUUUCCAUUUGCUUCCUACUAUGAGAUUCCUUUGGAUGUAAGUCAGGCCCUCUCACUCUGCCACUACCCAGCUCGGUCAUAGCCUUCACCCCAAGGCCUUUGAGCUCCGCUGCUUCUGGAAAGCUAUCAUAACGUCCCUCCUCGGGUGUAGAGGAGAUGUAUUUGCUCAUGAGCAUGCUUUCAUUAUUUCAUGCUUUCUGACUUAGCACAUCUGUAAUCCUACACCUUCCAAGAUAUUAGCAACAUAACAACUAGGACCUCAUGUUUGUUUAAUUAUUAUAUUAAUUAUUAUAAUUAUCUGAUAUGCAGUAGGUAUGGAAUAAAUAACCAAUGGAGCAAUAAAUGUUUUCCAAAUACAAGUUAAAAUGUUUAAAGUAAAAUUUGGUGGUGCCAAAUUAUGUAGUACAUAUGAUUGAUUGUGUGGUUAGCUUGUGAGAAGUGACCUCUUGCGCUGGAGAGAUGGCUAAGCAAGGUAAGAACGUAUACUUCUUUUCUAGAAAAUCAGAGUUUGGUUUCCAGUGACCAUAUGAAUGACUCAAAACCACCUCCAGCACCAGGGAUAUCUGUGCCCUCUGGUCACCUGCCCAGACUGGCACAGAGAUGCACAUGAAUAUAUAAUUUAAAUUUUUCAAAAUCUUUUAAAAAAAUAACUUCUUGAGAUCAUGAAGUUAAGUACUUGUAUUUGACACCUAACACAAUGAAUGUCCAGUUGAGUCUGCUUUUGCUGUCUACCUUUUAGAUGACUUGCUCUUUGAGCAACAAGUAUGCUUCUGUUUGUAAUGGAAAAGUAGGCUGUAAAAACCAGUUGUACGU